UAAAAAAAGAAACAGGUGAAGCCUAAGACACAAUACGUUGAAUAGUGUUUGUCUGCAGUUGCUCCCAUUAUCAACUUCCUGACUUUAUUCUCAUGUAUCAUCUUCACAAUCCCCUUCUCUAUGGAGUCCAUCUCAACGCACAGCUUCUCUGCAUGGACCUGCAAAAACAAAUCUCCUUAGAAAUGACACAUACUUCAUAUCUCAUGAGUAACAAAGUUGAGAACCGGCUAAUAUUCAAGGUAAUUUCGGAUUCCAUUCGGUUUACUGAGGCAAAUUCUGAGGUACUCAUCAACACAUACCCCUUUCUUCAGGCAAAUUCUAAGCAUCAAAUCUGGUACCCACUGUGGAAUAAGUAAAAAAAGAAAGAUCAAACCCAUUGACUCUUUUGGAUUUGUAUUGAGAGGAGAAAGAAAACUUACAAACAGGAAUCAUAUGAGGAGGUUGGUGAACAAGAACGAUGCAGAUCUUGUUCCCUUGGGAGUUAUCUAUUGCCCAUGUUAGAUUUGACUUGUUCUUGGCAGUUUCUCUCCCCACGGCAACGUAUAUUACCUCCUCCAUCACUGCUGCUGCUGCUUCUUCUUUCUCCAUGUUCUUCUCUUUUGGGAAAAGUGGUUGGAAGAAUGGCUGGUUCGUUUGAGACAAGAAGCUGUUGUUUUCCCGAAUGUUUUAAUAAUGUGGAAUCAAGAAAGAAGAUUUGAUGAACGCAUGUGUCAUCCCUCUCUGGUGUAACUCUGUUCUUUCGAAUAUUCCAUCUGGAGUUUGUAUUA
This is a long non-coding RNA of Brassica napus (rape), 767 nucleotides long. RefSeq lists it as uncharacterized. NCBI's taxonomy places the organism in Eukaryota, Viridiplantae, Streptophyta, Magnoliopsida, Brassicales, Brassicaceae. The transcript is spliced from 3 exons. The record is from RefSeq and is a predicted model, not a curated record.